RNAcentral lists this long non-coding RNA (537 nucleotides) under Salmo salar (Atlantic salmon). Its description in RNAcentral is "lncRNA (ENSSSAG00000109543.1)". The record is from RNAcentral. Lineage: Eukaryota; Metazoa; Chordata; Actinopteri; Salmoniformes; Salmonidae.
UCCUGUCAGUGAUGUUGUAUUCUAUAUCCUGUCAGUGAUGUUAUCCAGGUAGAGUAUUCUAUAUCCUGUCAGUGAUGUUAUCCAGGUAGAGUAUUCUAUAUCCUGUCAGUGAUGUUGUCCAGGUAGAGUAUUCUAUAUCCUGUCAGUGAUGUUAUCCAGGUAGAGUAUUCUAUAUCCUGUCAGUGAUGUUAUCCAGGUAGAGUAUUCUAUAUCCUGUCAGUGAUGUUGUCCAGGUAGAGUAUUCUAUUUCCUGUCAGUGAUGUUGUAUUCUAUUUCCUGUCAGUGAUGUUAUCCAGGUAGAGUAUUCUAUAUCCUGUCAGUGAUGUUGUCCAGGUAGAGUAUUCUAUAUCCUGUCAGGGAUGUUAUCCAGGUAGAGUAUUCUAUAUCCUGUCAGUGAUGUUGUAUUCUAUAUCCUGUCAGUGAUGUUGUCCAGGUAGAGUAUUCUAUUUCCUGUCAGUGAUGUUAUCCAGGUAGAGUAUUCUAUAUCCUGUCAGUGAUGUUAUCCAGGUAGAGUAUUCUAUAUCCUGUCAGUGAUGU